Long non-coding RNA from Cataglyphis hispanica, 357 nucleotides. RefSeq lists it as uncharacterized. Lineage: Eukaryota; Metazoa; Arthropoda; Insecta; Hymenoptera; Formicidae. The record is from RefSeq and is a predicted model, not a curated record. The transcript is spliced from 3 exons.
ACAACGCGGACUUCCGGAGGACGUGGUGGUGAUGGUAGUAGUGAUGGCAGAGGAGCGCUCGACACAAUCGUUAAUGAUGACGCAAACCGAUGGUAGACGGUAGACACGUUGCGUGAAGCAUUCGUAGAUUCGUAGAUCCUUCAUCAGCAUGCAUCUCUAUAUACAGGUAAAAAACGAAGUACACAUUCAUUAGCAGAUCAUCCAUGUUGAUUUCGUGGUAUCGAGUGUACAGGUACAGGAGUCCAAGCCAAUCCGGGCAAAAACAUAUCUUCGGGACUUGGUGCGAACAAACUGGCGAGUAAUGCCUGUGCUGACAUAAUGCAUCGAUCCGCAUAGCUGCUACGCACCAGCGUGGUU